Molecule: ribosomal RNA, 379 nt
Filed under: uncultured bacterium
Lineage: Bacteria
Description: bacterial SSU rRNA
Rfam family: Bacterial small subunit ribosomal RNA
Source: RNAcentral
AUUGAACGCUGGCGGCAUGCCUUACACAUGCAAGUCGAACGGCAGCACGGGAGCAAUCCUGGUGGCGAGUGGCGAACGGGUGAGUAAUAUAUCGGAACGUGCCCAGUCGUGGGGAUAACGUAGCGAAAGUUACGCUAAUACCGCAUACGAUCUAAGGAUGAAAGCGGGGGAUCGCAAGACCUCGCGCGAUUGGAGCGGCCGAUAUCAGAUUAGGUAGUUGGUGGGGUAAAGGCUCACCAAGCCAACGAUCUGUAGCUGGUCUGAGAGGACGACCAGCCACACUGGAACUGAGACACGGCCCAGACUCCUACGGGAGGCAGCAGUGGGGAAUUUUGGACAAUGGGCGCAAGCCUGAUCCAGCAAUGCCGCGUGCAGGAUG